UCCAAUUAUCUCCCAUUAGGCCCCUCCUCCAACAUUGGGGAUCAUAAUUUGACAUGAGAUUUGGGUAGGGACAAAAAUCCAACCAUAUCAAGAUUCAUCCACAUUAUAACAUGUAUCAGAAGUUUAUUCCUUUUUAUGGCUGAGUAAUAUUUCAUAAUAUUUCAUUGUAUAGAUAUACCACAUUUUAGUUCUUUCAUUUUCUUGAAGCACCGAAGUUUUAUCUUUUCUACUAGAGUAUAACUAUUUUAAAGAGAGGGAUUUUACCCCUUACUAAGCUUUUAUUUUUCACCCCAUAGAAUGCAGCACCUGCAACAUAAUAGACAUUCAAUAUUGUUGAACUGAUGCUACAGAAGUCAAUGUGGAAAAAAUGAGUUCAGCAUGUUUGUGAUUUUGAUAGAGUGGAGGUUGUUUAGGGAAGAGAGGAAAGGGAAAGUGAGAGAAGUGGUUUCAUGUACUAGAUUGAAUGAGUAUGAACUUAAAAGGACAAAAUAAAGAAGAGACAUGAAGCCCCUUAAUAGUGCGCAGAGGAUCUUUGGCGAGAAGAAGGCUCAUAGAUAGAGUGGGAACAGCCAAAAGGAGACACUCAUAGACCAACACAGGCAGUUUGAGUAAGAGCCAAAGUGUUAGAGUACCCAUCACAGAUUACAUAGAAAAUUUUGGCAGAGAUAACUGUGUACAUAGUUUUGUUCCUUUAGUUUGUACUGUAGGGAUAUCCUGAAAUUACUGGGUUUGACUGUAAAACUAGUUCAUAACUGAAACUUUCUGUAACUUGUCACUGCCCUCAUCACCAUCAUCACUGUUGUCACCACCACCACCACCGUCAUCAUCAUGAACAUUUAUCAAACACCUAUUAAAAUUUCAUGAAAAAUAGCCAUUUCCUGGUGCCCAGGGCACUGUGUGACAACAUUUUACAUGAGUUAUUUCAUUAGUCUUCUUAAUAAUCCUGUGAGGCAGGACCUAUUAAUAUCACCAGUUUUACAUAUGGGAAAAAUGAGGUUGGAAUUUGAACUGCAUUGGAUUGACUCUGUUGCCUAUAUAUUUUCUAAAGUAGUUUUUAGUUGAAGCUCUCAAACUUUUAGUUUUAUUUCGCCUUCAGUCUAUUUCGACUUCAUGCUGAUUUCAUUUUUAUGAUGGUUUGUAUCAUUGUCAACAAAUAUUCAUACCCCUUCCACUCCCAUUGUGGGUGCUUUCUACCCCACUAACUUGGGCUCACGUGACUGACCACAGCCAGUGGAAUAGUAGGAGACAUCAUGUAAGCAGAGGCCUUAAACGUGCUUGCAACCUUUGGCUUGCCUUUCAGGCACUGGUGAUCCAUAAGAAGAGGAUGCCCAAAUAGCCACUGCCCCUUUAGUUGUGACCUUAGAAUGAAUACAUAUGGAGCCAAUUUGAGACAACCCCUCUGGGGCCAACACAGCUGAUUUUCAACCUGAAGGUCACUCCGAUCAGCUCAGCUAUGCCAAUCCAUGAGCAUGAUAAUCAAUGUUUGAUAUUACAAGCUGCUGGGUUGGGGUAGUUUGUUACACAGACUUAUCUGGCAAUAGUAUCUAUUACAAUAGGAUCUCUUUUUUCUGUCAUUCAUUUAGCAGUUGAUUCAACCAUGACUGAUUUGAUUGUGUACCAUGUGCAAGUUAAUAUUGUAGGUAUUGGACUUAUAAAGACACCCAUGGGAAAGCCUUUAUUGUCUGGAUGUCUAGUUUUAAGUCAGGAAAAACAAUGUGUCUAUACAUUAUUAGAAGGCAGGAUAAAAUCUGCUAAGUACCCUAGCAGGCCACUGUAUCUAUGCUCUGGGAGAUUUGAGAAGAGGAUAUUAUGACAGUGGAGGUAUUCAGAAAGGCUGAGGGACUAUGAACAUGCAAGGUAAUUCUGUAAUAACUAGAAUUUAAUUCCUCUGAACACCAAGAAAUGCCAUUUUUGUAAGUUUUUCUAUCCUAUUUUUAGCAAGUAGAGAUUAUGCUCUCAUCAAAAAUUUAAAAAUUAAAUAUCCAUUAUCAAAAAUUGAGAAAUUAGAAUCUCUCCCAGUAAUUCAUUGGUAUGAGCAUGUAAUCAAGACACAUGCAUGAAACUAUAAGAAUGAAACUACAAAAUCUUCUCAUUUUGUUCUUUUUUGUAUCUCCUGGCCUGGAUUAUAAAAAUAAGAUAUCUGUUGUUGGAUUGGUGCAUCUGUCACUUUUUACCAAUUUUUUUGUGGCCACUGCCUGGCAUGGUGGGUAGAGGCUGCCUAAUGGUUAGGCAUUUGGGUUCUGGGGUCAGACAGACCUUGAUGAAGAGCCAAGCCUUUCAAAUUACUUAACUUUUCUACACCUAAUAAUCCUUAUAAAGGGUCAGUCAUGUGGUUACCAAAUGUUACAUUUUACUCAGUUUGGUCUAAACCCUUGAUGAACAACCCUUGAGACCCAGCUAGCUGUCAACUACUGCUACCUACUAUUGUAUUAUGGUCCACAGACUGAUUUCAAAUUCUUUUCGCUUCAGACCACACAAUAGACUUAAGGAAAUUUUUUUUAAAAAGACAUUGUAUUGGGUCUUAGAAUCACUCAUCCAGGGUAAUAACGCUCUAGCCAAGUGAGAACAAUGAAGAGGGAGAAGUGACAAGUCUGCAGGAGUGACAGCAGCCCCCAGCAGGCUGAGAUCUGGGUGCCAGAAACCCAUGGAGCUCACAUGGAGUUCACACAGCGCAGAAUAGCCCAAGUGUUAGAUGGCCACCAUUCUCUAGCACCAGCCACAUCAUUGUAGCUAUCAGGGCUCCCUCUGCCAAGCCCUCCCCACGUUAGCAAAGAAGAGAUCCCAGGCCAUAACUGAGGGAGUCCUGGUUGGGUGAGCAGAGUGCCUCAUCAUAUUCAGCUCAGUGGGACAUACCAGGCUCUCCAUAAACCUCACACUUAAUGGAAUAAGCUCAUUUCAGCUCCAUAUCCCUAGUGAACUUACAGGCAGGUGUGAUUUUAUCUCUCUGAACCUCAGCUUUCCUAAAUAAAAGUGGAGAUGAUAAUACCUAUUCGUCACACUCAGGGUUAAGGAUGGAAUGAAAUACCGUCUAUAAACAGGCUUCUGUAAUGUGCUUAUUUGGUGGGAGGGAUGAAGGGCUAUAAGGCUAUUGCCAUUUUGUGACUCCCCAGAUGUGCUAAGGUAUUUACAUCUCAGCAGAGCUAAGCAAACCUGCAGUCUAAGUGGUAAGACAUAGGCGAAGGAUUGUACACCUUUUCAUUCUGAGAAAGGAAAAAGAAACCGUUCGCCUCAGGAACACUUUUUAGCUUUUCUAAAUCCACCCUCAUACAGUGCAGUGGUAUUCACCGUGAUGGUGACAAGAGGACUUACAGGUUCAUUCUCACUCUUGUGCACAGCAGCUGUCUCAGGAAAAUGAAUGGUAGGCUGUCACCAGAGUGCUUUUCUGAGUAUGAUUUAAGCAUCUUCCUUUUCAAAAGCAAGUUCUGCUUUUUUUUUCAUUUUAAACCAAUUUAAUACCUUUGUUCAGUACCAGCCAUUAUUAAUUUCUCUCAUGCACAUAUUUCAAAUUCCUCACAUGACAGUUUUGAGAAACUAAUGAAAAUUAGAGUGUGUUAGCAUAUCACAUUCCUGCAGAGACCUGCUAAUACAUUCAAUUAUACUUAGUAAUGGUAAUGGAGACUACAGAGAAAAGCCUUGCCAUUUAUACCUGCUUGCCUGAGCAUUCUCUCGCUUUCUCUCUCUCUCUCUCGCUCCCUCCCUCUCUCUCCCCACCAACUAUUUGGAAGAAAUAUAGCAUAAUGCAAAGGAAGUCAUUUUUGAUGCUAUUUUUAAACGUGUCUAUUUCUGAAAAUGCAUUGCUUCUUGAUAAGAAACAGGAUAGGAUAGUGGUGGCACACGUAACUUACUUCUUAUUUGUCAGUUCGGAGCAUUAGCAUUAGUCCAUUUAUCUAAACUACUGAAAAUUUUCCUUCUGCUCACCAAAGGCUUCAAAGAAAUUUAAUAAAGGUAUUUUUUUCUGCCUAAAUAUAUACUUCGGCAAUUUGAUUUUGUUUUAAAGUAGGAUAAUUACAUUUUCUCCAUCCAUUCUGUGAAUCACAGUUCCCUUGCGAAUUCCUUUGAAAACCCUGAUUAGGAAUAGAAGAUGUGAGUGACUGGUGUGUGAUCGUGUUGAUGUUUUCUCGUCUCCUGAGCCUGGUUUGAAAUUCAGCUGUGCCUAGCAGGGCUUGCCCUCAGUUUUGAGGCAUUAUUUUGAGAUGUGUGGGCUCCAGUAACUGUGUGUGUGUGGCCAGCAGGUUGGCCAACUCAUCUUCUGGCAAAUAAGUGUGGGGGACCUCAAUCCUUGAUGUCAAACACUUUUAUAGCCUAUUAUGGAAUAAAUUAAAUGCAGAUUUAUUCUUCAUAAAUGUGUCAAUUUCAAUAUUUUCUGUUUUACAUGAUGAACUUCUGGAAUUCAGUGCUAUUAAAUUGAUUUUGUGUUACCUGUAAUAUGCAUUUUGACAAAAAAUUUAACAAUACAUUGCUUUACUAGAUAAUGACUUAGUAAGCUAGUGUUUUCUAAUAUGUAUAUUCAUUUGUUUGCAUCAGAUCAAAUACUGGCUUAUUUUUCCCAGUGAGAUGGAAAAAUUAGGACAGAUACAUAGACUUUGGCUGACCUGGGUGAGUUCUGUGCCAGGCAUUGUGCUAUCUAUUGUGAUUCUAAAGAUAGACAAGGCAGGGUUAAUUAUUUAAGCUGCAUAUUGUGAGUACUUGGCAAAUGAAAGUUAUUCAUUUUCUGACCUUUUUUGAAUUUUCUAGUCUUGGAAUCCAUGACAGGAAGCCAGAAUUUCUAGCUUUGAUGUGGUUUCAAUUUGACGUAAUCUAAGCAAAAUACGGCUAGUUCGGGCACACAAUUUUUCCUUUUCCCAAGAUAUUCUCAAAGUGAGGAAGGAACUCUGAUGUACACACAGAAACAGGCUUAACAUUUCUGGAGGCUCGGAAGUCCAAGGUCAAGCCAUUGGCAGAUUCAGUGUCUGGUGAGUGCCUGCUUGCUGGUUCAUAGAUGGCGCCUUCUCGCUCUGCCCUCACAUGGUAGAAGGGGCAUGGAAGCUCUCUGAAGUUUCUUUUAUAAGGGCAUCAGUCCCAUUCAUGAGAACUCCACUCUUAUGCCUUAGGCACCACCCAAAAGUUUCACCUCCUAAUAUCAUCCCCUUGGUGGUUAGGAUAUACACAUAUGAAUUUUGGAGGGACACAAAGAUUCAGUCUGUAAAUUGGUGAGAAGGUUAAGUGAAGAUUCUUUGUUCUAUUUUUGUAUAGAUUCUUUGUAUUGAUCUUUGCAUUUUUUAAAAGUUUGAAAUUAUUUCCAAAUAAAAUAUCUUUAAAAAUGGGGAUAAAAUAGACUUCUCACAUGCAUCCAAAGGGGACUUACACAGGUGGUAAAAGAUGAUUCUUGUCACUUUGUUCAAAGGAAUAGUAUAAACCUUUCAGGCCAGUCCUAUGACCUCUGGGGUCAGUUCAAGGAUCUCUUCAGAAGCCUCUCCAGUGUCCCAGCCCAGUCCAGUGAGGCUGGGCACAUUUUAUCCAGAGGAUGUUAAGAGGAUAGUCUGGGAAUCAGUAUUAUUUCAUAGCUCCUUUUUGGAACCACAGAGGUAGCUGUCGCUGCUUAAAGCCACCAAAACCAGUAGUGCCCAAAGUGCAAGUUCACAGUUAGAUGUGGAAUUGUGUCUCUUCACCCUUUGAAUCUUUUCCCACAAGAUGAUGGUUUAUUUAUUUAUUCAUAUAUAUAUAUAUUUUUAUGAGUACAAGAUGAUGAUUGAUUUAGCAACUGAGAUAAUUGAUACUAUUCAUCUCAAAGUGUAGCAAACCUUAGUGAGAAAGAGAAAACAGUGGUUAUUAAAGGACUUAGCACAGAUUUCUGCUCACCUAUGUACUUAAAAAUGAUUUACUAAUUGGAAUAAUAUGAGAGGCAUUAAAGGCAUUACGGGUGAGAUUGUCAUCUCCUACUGGUUUUUUUUUUCCUACUUUCAAGUCAGAACGUGGGUGGAAGAGAGCAUUCUUUGAGCACAUGGAAUUAAGGUAAGAAUUGGGCAAAACAUGAAUGGGGAUCAUGUUUAUUUUGUAAGAAUUGAUCUCAAUCUUCUUUGGCUAUGUACUAAUGAUGCAAGUACUAGCUAAUAGUUAUUGAGUGUUCUGGGGACACAUUGUGCUAAACCCUUGUAUGGAUCAGCUAAUUUGAUCUGUGUUCGUUUUAGAGAUGAGGAAACAGGCACAGAGAUAUAAUUUACUCAGUUAAUGAGUGGUAAUUAUUCCAGAGCCUGAACUACUAAAGCAGAUUGACUCUGAGAUUAAGGGAAUUUAAUACAGAAUAAAAUAAUGAGUUUAGAAGACAUCCUCUCAAAGGCAAACUUCCUUAUAGCAAACACUGUAGAUUAUGGCUUUGUAACAGAAUGGACUGAAACAUUUAGACCAGUGUGUUCUUAACUGCUUUAUAAUUGGCAGAUGGCAGUUGGUGUGCUGUGAGUUGUUAAUAGGUUAAUAGGUAUUCUUUGGGGAAAUGAGUUUCCUAAUCAAGUAAAAUUGGUAAACAGGGCAUGUUCUCAGUACAUUGAAAAAAAAACUUUAACAUUAUUGAACGUGGCUGGGAAAUUUUUUUUUUCAUGUCCCUGGUUCUGUGAAUUUCUUUAUCAUCAAUUGUUUUGCUAUCAACAAAGCUUAUCAAUGUGACCUACAAGAUUCCCCAAAAGAAUACAUAAUGACAAGAGAGCAAAACAACAGGAUUUGUAUUGGUAUUUGUAUACUAGCAUUUUUUUAUCACUAACUUGAGUCUUCUAUACUAGCUCAACUUCUGGCUGAUAAAUGGGAUGGUUUGGAUGAUGGAGAGGUUUUCAUUAGAAAGAUAACAGAUUCUUAGGAGUGAUUAGGAAAAGAAGAAAGCAUAAUUUUAUCUGAAGCUUUCCCAAAGUAUACAAGAAUGAGUGUAUUCCGUUUAGCAAUUUCUGUUAAAUUGCUUUCAUUAAACCAAAAUGAGAGAAGUAGUGGCUAAAGUAAUAAGCUAUAUCAAAUAAUUUAUUGGAAAUAUCUAGCAAUAGGGUGUAUAUUUAUAGCAUUAGGGUGUAUUUCCCAUUCCACCCCUCCCCAUCACCAGUGAUGGAUUUUCAUAACUUGUAGUAGCUGGAAACAGGACUGGGAAAAGCUAUGGUAAAUCUCCUGUAGGUCACUGCCCUUUUGUGACUGUGGAAAGAAACCAGCUCUGCUGGGAGGGAGGGAAGAUGGCCAGGACGUCCUAAUAGGCCAUUUUCUGUCUUCUCCCCAUGAUUGUUCUCAAUCACUUGGCAAUCACGAUGCUAUUAGGAGCACCCUGACCGAAGACACUCAGAUGCUUAGCCUUGCCAUUAACAACAUUGACAGGAAGCGUUGAGGUGGCUGCACAGCUGAUGGGUCUUGAGAGCCUUGAAUUAGAAGUCGGCCUGUCCUUAUGACAUGCCGAAAUGCCUCAGCUCCUUCUGCAGAAGGAUGUUCAGGCAAGAAUUGGAACUGUACAUAUGUGAAUGUCUAAAUUAUUUCAUCUCCUAUAUCUCUUCAUAUUCUAUGAUUUAUUACUUGGAAGUGCAGUAAGUCAUGGACGUUGUCUGUAUGGUAAUGGCUUGUAUUGAACCUUGAAGUUCACCAUGCCCUGGGAGAUGGUCAGAGUGACGUGCAGAACCCCUUCCUUUCCUAGACCUUGCCCUGCAGCCACCCUGCUUCCCUACCAUGCUGAGCCAGUGUCGGGCAAAACAGACAUUUCCAGGGUUUGUCACCCCAUCAUGGUCCUUUAGGCUUGUUAGAGUUCAUGAUCUGGUAGUGAUAUGGUUUGGCUCUGUGUCCCCACCAAAACUUCAUCUUGAAUUGUAACCCCCCAUAUUGGAGGAGGGACCCGGUAGGAGGUAAUUGGAUCACAAGGGUGCAGCUCCGCUCUCACUGUUCUCGCGAUAGUGAGUGAGUUCUCAGAAGAUCUGGUGGUUUGUGUGUGGCUCCUCCCCAGUCCUUCUCUCUUUUCCUCCUGCUCUGGCCGUGUAAGUUGCGGCUACUUCGCUUCGCCUUCCACCUGGAUUGAAAAUUUUCUGAGGCCUACGUAGCCAUGCUUCCUGUGCAGCCGUGGAACCGUGAGUCAGUUAAACCUCUUUUCUUUAUAAAUUAGCCAGUCUUAGAUGGUUCUUUAUAACAGUGCAAGAACCAGCUAAUACAGGUAGGAACUGGGAAGUCAGGCACAGGUUUCUUUGGGACAGUGUUUUAAGACAGAUCUUGCAAGUUUCCUUUUUACAACACCCUUUUUCUGCCAAGGUGCUCAAUGAGGUUGUGCGUAGAUUUGUCCCUUAAGUGUGGGAUCAGGAGUAUAUGAAUCUCCAGAUUGGCUACCGGUGUGAAAGUUCUGGAUGACAAAAGGCAAUUAUAUGUAUACAUAUUCCCUUUAGAAGCAAAAUCUACCAACUUUGUUUUCUUUUCCUGGAAAGAGAACAUGAAAAACAAACUAGAAUCUGGAGAUUCCUAAUAAUUGUCAUCCUUAAAGGGCAUUUACACCUGAGACAACCUUCAGAUUUUUUAUGAAAGAAUGUAAUUUAAAAAUAUAAAAUAAAAAAAGAAAGUACUGCUUUUCACAUGGAAGUAAAUGCAUAAAAUAUCUGGGAAAACACAUCUGCUCUCAUUGCAGAAUGAAAUCAGACAUUGUCGUGAUGGGAGAACAAUCUGUUAAAUUUUAAGGCAAGAGUUUUCUCUAAAAGUUCUCAUUAAUAUCUUUGAAGUGUAGGAGCAUCAUAUGAUCUCUGAAGAAAUUGCCAGCUCCCAAAUUAUUAGUCACUCUCAAAUGAAUAUCCAUCGUGUAGGAAACUGACUUUUUGGAAGGAGCAAUGCUUAACAUUAACCACAGCAUUCUAUUUGUUAGGAGGACCUUGAUCGUUAAAACCAUUCUUUGUGUUUGUUUGUUUAUUUAUUUGAGAUGGAGUCUCUCACUGUCGCCUGGGCUGGAGUGUAG
Molecule: non-coding RNA, 8923 nt
Organism: Macaca mulatta (Rhesus monkey)
Lineage: Eukaryota; Metazoa; Chordata; Mammalia; Primates; Cercopithecidae
Source: RefSeq, a predicted model, not a curated record